CCUACGGGUGGCAGCAGUGGGGAAUAUUGCACAAUGGGGGAAACCCUGAUGCAGCGACGCCGCGUGAGUGAAGAAGUAUUUCGGUAUGUAAAGCUCUAUCAGCAGGGAAGAAAAUGACGGUACCUGAUUAAGAAGCCCCGGCUAACUACGUGCCAGCAGCCGCGGUAAUACGGAGGGUGCAAGCGUUGUCCGGAAUCAUUGGGCGUAAAGGGUUCGUAGGCGGCAUGUAAAGUCAGGUGUUAAAGGCGCAGGCUCAACCUGUGUAUGGCACUUGAUACUUGCAAGCUUGAAUGCGGUAGAGGUAAAGGGAAUGCGUGGUGUAGCGGUGAAAUGCUUAGAUAUCAGGAAGAACAUCGGUGGCGUAGGCGCUUUACUGGGCCGUAAUUGACGCUGAGGAACGAAAGCCAGGGUAGCAAAUGGGAUUAGAUACCCCUGUAGUC
Molecule: ribosomal RNA, 440 nt
Filed under: uncultured bacterium
Lineage: Bacteria
Description: partial 16S ribosomal RNA
Rfam family: Bacterial small subunit ribosomal RNA
Source: RNAcentral